GAUGAACGCUGGCGGCGUGCUUAACACAUGCAAGUCGAACGGAAAGGCCAGUGCUUGCCCUGGUACUCGAGUGGCGAACGGGUGAGUAACACGUGGGUGAUCUGCCCUGCACUUCGGGAUAAGCCUGGGAAACUGGGUCUAAUACCGGAUAGGACAAUGGUUUGGAUGCCGUUGUGGAAAGUUUUUUCGGUGUGGGAUGAGCUCGCGGCCUAUCAGCUUGUUGGUGGGGUAAUGGCGUACCAAGGCGUGGACGGGUAGCCGGCCCGAGAGGGUGUACGGCCACACUGGGACCGUGCGACGGGCCACAGUCCUAAGGGGGGCAGCAGUGGGGAAUAUUGGACAAUGGGCGCCAGCCUGAGGGAGCGACGCCGCGGGGGGGAUGACGGCCUUCGGGUUGUAAACUCCUUUCGCUAGGGAAGAAGCGUAUUUGUGACGGUACCUGGAGAAGAAGCACCGGCUAACUACGUG
RNAcentral lists this ribosomal RNA (468 nucleotides) under uncultured bacterium. RNAcentral describes it as "partial 16S ribosomal RNA". It matches the Rfam family "Bacterial small subunit ribosomal RNA", at positions 28 to 507 of the family's 1533-position model. The record is from RNAcentral.